CCGAUGCUCAGCAAUUCAACAAAAAGCUCAAUACAGCCGCAGCCAAUCUCCAGAAGCAGUACCCUGAUCUCAAAUUGUGGUUUUUGACAUUUUAAAGGCACUAUCUGAUGUUGUUAAAUCCCCUUCGGUUUCGUGGAAGCGACGAGAGGCUGCUGUGGAACAGGGACCGUAGAGACGACUGCAUUCUUGUGCAAUCCGCAUACACCGGGAACUUGAUCGAAUGCCUCCCAGUAUGUGUUUUGGGACAGUGUUCAUCCAUCUCAGGUUGCUAAUCGGGUCCUUUCUGAUGCAUUGAAUGUUCAGGGCAUUCCCCUCCUUUGAUGCAUUAGGACACCAUGUCUACUUGCCCUUUGUAGACUGUACUAGGCUUACCACUACUCUCUACUAUUACAUUUAUUAAAAAGUGACUCAUAUUGCAGUAGCUUGUAUUUGUAGUUAA
Long non-coding RNA from Hibiscus syriacus, 439 nucleotides. RefSeq lists it as uncharacterized. The transcript has 2 exons. The record is from RefSeq and is a predicted model, not a curated record. Lineage: Eukaryota; Viridiplantae; Streptophyta; Magnoliopsida; Malvales; Malvaceae.